RNAcentral lists this long non-coding RNA (365 nucleotides) under Anser brachyrhynchus (Pink-footed goose). Its description in RNAcentral is "lncRNA (ENSABRG00000014907.1)". The record is from RNAcentral. Lineage: Eukaryota; Metazoa; Chordata; Aves; Anseriformes; Anatidae.
CCUUGCUUCUGAUCACAUUCUUUAUACUAGUUCCUAGCCUGUGAGAGCUCUUAAACUCCUUUCUCUUCUGGCUUGUGAAUCCAUGUCUCCACCUCUGGUUCUAGCCUCAUUAUAAUCAUCAGGACCAAUGGUGCAGGUUCCUGAAAGAGUGCUCACUUUCUUGAUAAAGGAUCAGACAGUAAUGACAUUCUCAGCAGCUGAAGAAGCUCUAUUGCUGUCUGCAGGGGCAAUGGCAGUAAAUCCUAGAUCUGUAGGUCAGAUCUUUAUCUCUGUGGUUCAUUGGACACAUGCUCUUCUUCUGACCAGUAAUAUUAUCUGAUGGCAUUUCAGUAGUUUAUACAUUUGAUGGAUUGCCCUACAUAGAU